This is a long non-coding RNA of Bos taurus (domestic cattle), 1228 nucleotides long. The record is from Ensembl. Lineage: Eukaryota; Metazoa; Chordata; Mammalia; Artiodactyla; Bovidae.
UCAGGAUUUAUGGUCACCAUGAGGAGAGAAACCAAGGGCAGGAGGCAUAGGAUAAAGAACUUGGAGAGUUGAAAACACAGUUCAGGGACUCACAGGAAGCAUCAUGACCAACACUGCCAAUUCUCCUGGUAGGAUUCACUUCCAGGGAGCAGCAGAACAAGGUCAGGAAGCCAGAAACCCUCUGAAAAUAGAACAGAUCCCUUUGAUGUCAAGAUACCACAACAUGAUCAUCAGUGGCUUGGAUCAUAAUGUGUAUCAGUCCUACUGCAAGAGGACUCCAUGGAUCAUGUAUGUCAAGUUCGUUAUCUGGCACAUGGAGGUGACCCACCCUUUGCUGAGAGCCCAUGAUCUAACACAUAAAGAAUAGAGCCCUUGAAACCCAUAGACCAUGUUCAUCCUGCAGAUGCCUGCAAAGACAGUCUCACUCCUCCUCCACUUCAUCUUAUCUUCUAACAGAAUGCCAGCAUGAUGAAAGGCAGAGACGAACAGAGCACAGUGUUUUCUUAAAGAGGCUCACAGUCUGGUGGGAAAAGAGAACAUGACAAAUAUUACAAGUAUUACAAGCAGGGUAUGGUGGGAAGCCAGGGAGAUUGGAGGGGAUCUUCAAAGACAAGUAACAGGAAGCAGGCGAGGAGGUGGGUGAAUGUCUUUCCAGGCAGUGGGUACAGCUUUAUAAAAUCCUAGAGGUUAGAGAGCAGUCAAUCAUUCCACCAGGCUGUUGGGUGCAACCCUAGGAGUUCAGGGGUCAGGGGUCAGGGGUCAGAUCAAGAGCAAGUCAUGCUGAGGAGCUUAGACUUCAUGCAAUAACUAGAGGGCUGUAAGAACUGGACUACCAUUACCACAUUUAGAAUUUAGAGAGGUCAUUGAUCACAACAAGAUUUUACUGGAGGAGGCCAGCGUGCAUCAGAGAAUGUAGGUUAGGAACACAUUGUGUAAUUCAGAAGGGCCAUGAAUUAAAGAUGGACAGUGUGGGGCAGAGAGAACACACGGUAGAGGCUGUAGACACUCCCUAAGCCCCCCAAAGCUGUUAGCAUCCUUGCCAACAUUUUCUUUGCCCCUCUUCCCACUGGACUUGGGCUGAAAUGUCCACAUCUCCCAACACUGUGCUUCUUUCUUGGAAAUACUACUUGGCCACUGGAGGGCCCUGCCCACAGGCAUGAACAGCUCAAAGUGACUAGAAGUUCUCUAUCCACACACUACCCUCAUCUCCACGAACCCCACAAAUUCC